CUCCAAGAAAAGGCUGUAAAAAUAGGGCACAAUCUUAAUGUUAAUAUGAAAGAAUUUUACGUAUUGGUUUUUUACCUGCAUUUUAAAUUACGCAUUGUGUUUUCGGGUUACAGGGUUACAAUGGAAAUUUACUAGUAGCCUAUAUUCCAUUUUUCUUACAGCAUACUAACUGAUCAACAAUCGCAAGUAUAAGCUAUAACAAAGUGUAGCCUAUUAUAAAUGAACAAUUAUUCAAUUAUUCAGUUGUUAUUAUUAUUAUAUUGAAGAAAUGCAAAUAGCAGCUAAUUCAAUUCACGUGAUGUGUGUACUGCUAGGCAUCUUUGGUUUUCUUUUUGUGUAAUUUGGAUGGAAAAUGUGUGUCUUUUUAUUGUCUGAGUCACUUAUCAAAAGUUGCUAAAAGUUGCCAAAUAAAUUUUAAAAAUUGCUAAAUUUGUUGCUAGGUGCUUUUGGAAGAAAAAGUUGCUAGGGUAGUCUGAAAAGUUGCUAAAUUUAGCAACAAAAUUGCUAAGUUGGCAACACUGUUUCCAAACAGGCGUUCGUGAGCGAGUCGUUCUUUAGAGUCGGAUCUUUUCGAUGAAUCUUUGAACUGGGUUCAUAAACCUGUAUGAGUUAUUUAUUCACGCAUCCGACUGAAUCGGUCCAGACCAUAGAUAUCAUAUAGAGAUAAUAUCAUAUCAUAAUAUGAUGUCUAUGGUCCAGACGGUUCACGAGUCAGCAACUCAAUCAAGAAUCACUGAACCGGUUCUUUUGAAAUAAAAUGUUCGAAAGAACCGAUUUUCUGAAAUGAUUCGAACUUUCCAUCACUAUAGCCUACUUUUCCAUUUUCAAACAGGUAGUUCCCUACUCAAACUCAUAGGUUUAGAUUAGCAGAGCCGCUUCAGAAAUGUCUGAUAUGCUAGAUUAUGAUUACAAAUCACAUAUCAGUGAUAUUUUUUACAAAUAGUUUAGCCUAUAUCUUGUAGUAUUUUAAAAAUGAUAAAGUCCACAUUUCUGUAACACUGCUGAAGUUCAGAAGGAUUAACAUACCGUGAAAAGGUUCCAACAGAGCCAGAGGCCAUAUUAAGACUAUUAUGUUGCCUGCUAAUUGUAUUGGAUUGGGGGAAAAAAGAAACGUGUAGCAUAAGAAUAAAUUAGUUUUAUUUAAUUCAUGAAACUUCCACAAAUCAGACAUUGAUCACAAACAUUGCAGUAGUCAACACCAUUUAGGUCUCCCAUGUGAUGUCAAGACCGACCCAAGAACACUGAUUUCAAAUGGUGCUAGAUGCCAUAAAAGUACUCUAUGGCACCAUCUGAAUUCAGCUUCCAGGAGCAGCAUAGGAGGAGAUACAAAUAUUAUACAAAUAUUAAAGACGCUAUACAGUACACAUGAACCUCAUUCUGUCAAGAUAGUUUGUUCUGAUCCAUACUUUCUUUUAAUAGGAUUUAUUUCUGUGAGACUAUGUUAAAACUUGUUUCCUUGCCACUACUGCGUAUACCCGAGAGCAGAGGUAUUAUGUUUAAACUACUGUAGACCUGAGUCAAUAGAAUGAGUACAAAAGAAAAGUAUAGGGAGUGACCAAGAGGGAGGGAGAGCAUUUGUUUACAAGUUUCUUUUUUCACUCUAGUACAUCAGUUUAUUCUUGGUUUGCUGCCUCUGCGCACCUGACAGCUUGUGUAAUGCUGAUCCAGCUCUUAAAGGGAAAGGGAUCUUUAUUGAGGCUCCGAACCUGCCAUUUAAACGGGGUGGAAAAGAGAAAAUAUUGCAGUUAAUAUACAGUCAGCAGAUUGCAAACAGUUAAGGCAUGCAGCAUAGUAUUUGUUUCUAGCAAAAAGCAUAUUAUUUGAACUCGCAUUCAACAUGCAGUUCAUUCCAAAUAUUUGGUGGGCUGCUGAGAAGAUGUCUUCAGGGACUUGUUGGCUUAGGUUCAUAUAGUAUGUUUAUAAAGGAUGUUUAUCUUUACUGUUGGGUCUAGAAAGAUUACGAAAUUCAUUUUUCUUGGACAAGAGUCAGGCCAGGAUACUAAAUAUAACAUCUUAUAUAUAGCCUAACAACAAGUGAUAAGUGAAUAAUUACUAAUACUUUAUUGUCUGUGCGGGUCCUGGACAUUGAAAUUUCAUAUUUGACAUAUAAUAGACAGAAAACCUACUUUACACUUACAUACUGUAUCUCACAUGGAACACACAUUAUCCUCAUAAAAAACAACAACAACAAAAAAACAACAACAACAACAUAUGAAUACAAGGCACAAUGUAAAACUAAUACACAUGAUAACUGUAAUGAUUAAAACAAAUAGAGCAUAAUGCCACAGGGGGUUUUAAAAAUACAAAUAUACAACUAAAAAAAAUAAGGUACAAUAUAUAAAUAUUGUUUACAAAUUCACUAUUAUAGCUUUUUUUUUUUUUUUUUAAUUAAAAGAGUGUCUAAUGCUGUCGUUGUUUUAGUUUUUUAAUUCACAAAUAUACAUUUUUAUAAAAUUAUAACAAUGACAAGUCUACCGUAUUGUUCACUUCAGGCUACAUACAAGAAGCAUAUAAUGUGUCCUGGUUGCGCCACCUGAAGGGAAAAUUGAGCAUUGCGCUAAUGAUUUGUUUACCUCGUUUGGUCAAGUGCGCACUAGCAAAUAACUACUACAAGUUUAUUGUUAAACACGCUGAAUAAGACACAUAGUGUUACGAUUUGACGCCUUACGCACUUUUUUUUUUUUUUUUGCGAUGAACAAGAUGAUCUAUGACAACAAAAGUUUUGGUGUUAAACAGGUAACCAAAGGUAUGUUAAGCUUAAUAAUGUAAUUCACUAUUAUUCCUUGACAAUAGCCCUUUACGGUUUCUCUUUUAGAGAGGUUUGCUUCAGCGAUGGUCUGAAGCGACAAGAAGUGCGCACUUCAAUUACAGCCAGUGACGUACGCAACGCAUCUCUCGCUCGCGCAGCAUCCUUUUCUAGCCGUUGUCUUGAACGCGACGCUUGCAGUUAUGAGACAGUUGAAGACUCACUUAUGAUUAUGUCAUGUUCAGCCGCGACGAGUUAAUAUAAAAAAGGAGCGCUUUACGAAAACUCUUACGCAGGCGAAAUUCCCAAACGAAACUUCAUAUUAUUGUCGCAAUAGCUAUGACGCAGUAAUAUAUUUGAACGAAAGCCUGUUGGAAUAAUUAUUAGUACACUUCAAUCUCAGAUUUCAAGUGAUGACAUCAAUUCGUCAAUAUUAUUUGUCAGAUAGUAUUUAUAAAUUAUGAAUGACUAAAAAUAUUAAGGCAUUUAAAAGGAUUCUUAUAUGAUUCCCAGUCUUACAAACAAAUAAAUUACUUAUACCUCUUAUGAUAAGAAAUUCUUCUACUUACGUGGAUACAUUCAAACGAUUGCCUUACAAUGGAAUCUUUUCCUAAAUAAUCUACAUGCCACGGAUACCUGCACUCUUCACUUGUUUCAAUCCGACCGAACUCCUCACUUUCCAUUCUUGAGACGUAGUCUCCUCGCAUCAUUACAAGAUCCCUAUCGAUUUUUCCAGGGCGAAAUACUCAGGCCCCGCCCCCCAGACACUCCCCCGGCGACUGAUUGGCCACUGCGCUUUACACGUUCCUAAACACUUCUGGAUCACAUGUGCUUGACGCGUGUUUACAAACAUUGAAUGAGGUCACAUGGUACAGGCAACCAUUUAAUGCGCAUCGCUGGAUACUAGUGUCGCAGCGUCUUAUAAGAGGGAACAAAAAACCGGAACCUAAGUUUACGGGAAACGAUCUGUUAUAUCAUGCCGUAGCCGUCGUGAAAACACCGUUUAGCUCGUUUAGUCGAUCUUACUCUUAGGAAAAUUAGCUAUUGUAACAUUUUUCUUUCACAACACACAAAUAUGUCCUCUAUGCUUUAGUAUAAAAAACAUUUAUAGUUGCCGAGUAACUGUGCGGUUAAUACAAAUAUAUUGAGAACGAUAUCUUUAAAUUUAUUAAGAGAAGCCCACGUGUUACAAUCUCCCAUGUUGCAAACAUAUUACGAAAUAAAAGCAUAUAUAUAUAUAUAUAUAUAUAUAUAUAUGACAAAUUAUUUUAGCAAUUUCUUGUUGUUAAAGUUUGUAAGAUGUUGACAGUGAUUAUUAUUGAAUAAUAAUAUUGCUUUGAAUUUUUCUAGAACGUUCUGGAAAUUCCUGGAACAGUCUGUAAUACUCUAGAACAUUCCAGAACAUUGUGGGUCUAGUCUUAAACGAUAAAAAUCAUCCACGUAUGAAGUUCUGGACGACUCACUGUUGAAGAGUGUGAUGUAGAUCUGGUGUCACGGAGCGUGCCUGUGCUAUCCAAACUCUUCCACUGAACAUCUGAAGCUUGCAGCUGGGUCUGACUGAACGUCUUUAUUUAGCUCCAUGUGAUUGGCUGGUUCAUAGUUGGAGGGAAACAUCAGCCCCGCCUUCAUUUUGCCAUGGCAGUGCUGGUCUUUUUUUCUUGCAGUUGUUGAAUUCAUCUGGUGGUUGGAGACUCAACUUCUCCACCCCUGUCUAUAUAUAAGAUAUACAAUACCAUAGUACAAAAUGUUCAACUGUGGGGCUCCACAGAGGGUUUAACACACUUCACUUGAUCCCACGACCAUGUGAAUCCACUGAAAUCUCACGCACGUAGCAAGCUUGAUGUGGCCCAGGGGGUAUUACUACUGCCUUACUAUAGUGUUUUCUUUGUAGUAGCCUCAGUAGAUUUACUAUUUAAAGCCAAAGAUUUACGUUAUUUAUGAAUCCUAAAUGAUUAGCUACUUUUUUGUUGAAAUGAAGUGAUUUUGCUUUUAGGUGGCAAGUUACAAUGUCGAUUCUUCUCAGUGGUCAUAUUUUUAAUGAGCUUGAAAAUC
Onychostoma macrolepis is the source of this 4798-nucleotide long non-coding RNA. RefSeq lists it as uncharacterized. The record is from RefSeq and is a predicted model, not a curated record. The transcript is spliced from 3 exons. Lineage: Eukaryota; Metazoa; Chordata; Actinopteri; Cypriniformes; Cyprinidae.